UACGUAGGUGACGAGCGUUAUCCGGAAUUACUGGGCGUAAAGCGCACGCAAGCGGUCUAACAAGUCUGGCGUGAAAUCCUCUGGCUUAACCAGGGGCGGUCGCUGGAGACUGUUAAACUUGAGGCGAUGAGAGGGGUGCAGAAUUCCCGGUGUAGUGGUGGAAUGCGUAGAUAUCGGGGGGAAUACCAGUGGCGAAAGCGGCACCCUGGCGUCGUACUGACGCACAUGUGCGAAAGCGUGGGGAGCAAACGGG
RNAcentral lists this ribosomal RNA (253 nucleotides) under uncultured bacterium. RNAcentral's name for it is "partial 16S ribosomal RNA". It matches the Rfam family "Bacterial small subunit ribosomal RNA", at positions 524 to 776 of the family's 1533-position model. The record is from RNAcentral.